UGUUGAAUUUUAUCUCCAUUUAUGAAAAGAUUUUGUUUAGAGAACAAAUUUUUUUCUUAUUUCAAUAUUGUUUUAUGUUAUUCUCUUUAAUAUCAUCCCUUUAUGGGAUCUACCAUUAGACCUAAACAUAUACUAUAGGAAUACCUCAUGGGCCUAUGAGAAGAAUGAGAAGAAAGAAGUGUGUGUGUGUGUGUGUGUGUGUGUGUGAACUGUAUCAACUGCUGCCAUGAGUUUGAAAUAGGGAAUAAAUUGGCCACACUAAGAAUAGUCUUUACCUUCUGUUAUAAUGUGAAGGUGAAACAGAAUAAAUUUCUAGGUGAAUUGUGUAAAAUGUCUUAUAAAAUGAUAUAGUUUCUCAUCCUUUUUGACUUGAAUUUUACCAUAUCUCAUAGGAGAUGGAAAGGUGUAUAAGAAGAGAUUACUAGAUAGUGUGAAGUCUCUCAAAGGGAAAAAAAUCAGUGUCAAUAACCUGGACACCCUUAUGGAAGAAAUGGAAAUCCAGCUUGAGAAAGAAGACCGUGUGGACUUACUGACCCAUCUGCCAAUUGAUGGUAAGUAUGUCAGGUACCACUAUGUGUAGGGGGAAUCUUGGGGUUUCUAUAUAUAAGGGUU
RNAcentral lists this long non-coding RNA (612 nucleotides) under Sus scrofa (pig). Its description in RNAcentral is "lncRNA (ENSSSCG00005033971.1)". The record is from RNAcentral. Lineage: Eukaryota; Metazoa; Chordata; Mammalia; Artiodactyla; Suidae.